This 431-nucleotide ribosomal RNA is filed under the name Hectopsylla cypha. RNAcentral describes it as "partial 16S ribosomal RNA". Lineage: Eukaryota; Metazoa; Arthropoda; Insecta; Siphonaptera; Hectopsyllidae. The record is from RNAcentral.
UGUAAGAAUUUAUGGUCGAACAGACCAAAUUUUUAAACUUCUGCAUCUAAAAAUAAUCUUAAUCCAACAUCGAGGUCGCAAUCUUUUUUGUCGAUAUGAUCUCUCAAAAAUCAUUACGCUGUUAUCCCUUAAGUAACUUAAUCUUAUAAUCAUAAUUUAUGGAUCAAAUCAUUUAUUAAUGAAAAAAAGUUUAUUAAAUUUUCCUAUCACCCCAAUAAAAUAUUAUAUAAAGCUUUAAAGGGUCUUCUCGUCCUUUUAAAUUAUUUAAGCUUUUUAACUUAAAAAUUAAUUUCUAUAACAAUUAUAAUAAGACAGUUAAUAUUUCAUUCAAUCAUUCAUUCCAGCUUCUAAUUAAGAAACUAUUGAUUAUGCUACCUUUGCACAGUCAAAAUACUGCGGCCUUUUUCAAUGGGCAGAUUAGACUUUAAAUU